This 329-nucleotide ribosomal RNA is filed under the name Ochromonas sp. CCMP1393. RNAcentral's name for it is "partial Eukaryotic large subunit ribosomal RNA". It matches the Rfam family "Eukaryotic large subunit ribosomal RNA", at positions 1135 to 1464 of the family's 3401-position model. The record is from RNAcentral. Lineage: Eukaryota; Chrysophyceae; Chromulinales; Chromulinaceae.
UUUUGGUAAGCAGAAUUGGCGAUGCGGGAUGAACCGAAAGUCGAGUUACGGUGCCGAAUUGCGCGCUAACCUAGAUCCCACAAAGGGUGUUGGUCGAUUAAGACAGCAGGACGGUGGUCAUGGAAGUCGAAAUCCGCUAAGGAGUGUGUAACAACCCACCUGCCGAAUCAACUAGCCCUGAAAAUUGAUGGCGCUUAAGCGUCGUGCCUAUACUCCGCCGUUGGCGCAAAUGCGAGGCGCCAACGAGUAGGUGGGCGUGGAGGUUGUGACGAAGCCGAGGCGUAAGCCCAGGUGAAACGGCCUCUGGUGCAGAUCUUGGUGGUAGUAGC